This 31-nucleotide non-coding RNA is filed under the name Mus musculus (house mouse). Lineage: Eukaryota; Metazoa; Chordata; Mammalia; Rodentia; Muridae. The record is from RNAcentral.
UGGGUUAUCCUUAGUAAAACUAUCAGAGACA